GAUGAACGCUGGCGGCGUGCCUAAUACAUGCAAGUCGAGCGAACAGAUGAGGAGCUUGCUCCUCUGACGUUAGCGGCGGACGGGUGAGUAACACGUGGAUAACCUACCUAUAAGACUGGGAUAACUUCGGGAAACCGGAGCUAAUACCGGAUAAUAUAUUGAACCGCAUGGUUCAAUAGUGAAAGACGGUUUUGCUGUCACUUAUAGAUGGAUCCGCGCCGCAUUAGCUAGUUGGUAAGGUAACGGCUUACCAAGGCAACGAUGCGUAGCCGACCUAAGAGGGUGAUCGGCCACACUGGAACUGAGACACGGUCCAGACUCCUACGGGAGGCAGCAGUAGCGAAUCUUCCGCAAUGGGCGAAAGCCUGACGGAGCAACGCCGCGUGAGUUAUGAAGGUCUUCGGAUCGUAAAACUCUGUUAUUAGGGAAGAACAAAUGUGUAAGUAACUAUGCACGUCUUGACGGUACCUAAUCAGAAAGCCACGGCUAACUACGUG
Molecule: ribosomal RNA, 497 nt
Filed under: uncultured bacterium
Lineage: Bacteria
Description: partial 16S ribosomal RNA
Rfam family: Bacterial small subunit ribosomal RNA
Source: RNAcentral